AAAAUUAAAUAUGAAUCACUUCAAUGAAAUCCCCUCAGAGCAGCACCAGCUUCUCAUUUAGAGCAAUCUUUGCUUGUGUGAGGUUGGACAGAUAGGUCACCAUCAG
Molecule: long non-coding RNA, 106 nt
Organism: Etheostoma cragini (Arkansas darter)
Lineage: Eukaryota; Metazoa; Chordata; Actinopteri; Perciformes; Percidae
Exons: 3
Source: RefSeq, a predicted model, not a curated record